CCUACGGGAGGCAGCAGUGAGGAAUAUUGGUCAAUGGCCGGAAGGCUGAACCAGCCAAGUCGCGUGAGGGAAUAAGGCCCUAUGGGUCGUAAACCUCUUUUGUCAGGGAGCAAAGGCGUCCACGUGUGGACGAGAGGCGAGUACCUGCAGCAAAAGCAUCGGCUAACUCCGUGCCAUCAGCCGCGGUAAUACGGAGGAUGCGAGCGUUAUCCGUGGUUAUUGGGUUUAAAGGGAGCGUAGGUGGAUUGUUAAGUCAGUUGUGAAAGUUUGCGGCUCAACCGUAAAAUUGCAGUUGAAACUGGCAGGCUUGAGUACAGUAGAGGUGGGCGGAAUUCGUGGUGUAGCGGUGAAAGGCUUAGAUAUCACGAAGAACUCCGAUUGCGAAGGCAGUUCACUGGACUGCAACGGACACUGAGGCUCGAAAGUGUGGGUAUCAAACAGGAUUAGAUACCCGGGUAGUC
RNAcentral lists this ribosomal RNA (461 nucleotides) under uncultured bacterium. Its description in RNAcentral is "partial 16S ribosomal RNA". It matches the Rfam family "Bacterial small subunit ribosomal RNA", at positions 338 to 795 of the family's 1533-position model. The record is from RNAcentral.